RNAcentral lists this ribosomal RNA (255 nucleotides) under uncultured bacterium. RNAcentral describes it as "partial 16S ribosomal RNA". It matches the Rfam family "Bacterial small subunit ribosomal RNA", at positions 524 to 777 of the family's 1533-position model. The record is from RNAcentral.
UACGUAGGAGGCAAGCGUUGUCCGGAAUUACUGGGCGUAAAGCGCGUGUAGGUGGUGGGACAAGUCUGCUGUGAAAGCGCCUGGCUUAACCGGGCGAGGUCGGCGGAAACUGUCCGACUAGAGGACGGUAGAGGGGGGUGGAAUUCCCGGUGUAGUGGUGAAAUGCGUAGAGAUCGGGAGGAACACCUGUGGCGAAGGCGGCCCCCUGGGCCCGGCCCUGACACUGAGACGCGAAGGCGUGGGGAGCGAACGGGG